Molecule: long non-coding RNA, 320 nt
Filed under: Mytilus galloprovincialis (Mediterranean mussel)
Lineage: Eukaryota; Metazoa; Mollusca; Bivalvia; Mytilida; Mytilidae
Source: RNAcentral
UAAUUAAAAACCAAUUGUUCAGAGAACUAUUGAUGGUCUUUCCACCAGUAAGGAUCUUUUUUUAUAUGAAAAUAUUAAAAAUUUGGUUUUAAAUGUCAAUUGAACCGUCAAAUGACAGUUUAAUGAACGUUGAUUCCAAAAAAUGUAUGGUUUUAUGGAAAAAGAUAUAGAUAAGGGAGAUAAUUGUUAACUUCCGGUUCAAACGACGUAAUUUCCGGUAUAGUUCGAUAGUUUAAUUGACACUGAUUCCAAAAAUAUAUGGUUCUAUAUACUUUUACAUUUAUUUAGAACAAAAAAUAGCUACUUCCGGUAAACAAAAG